CGAAAGCCUGACGGAGCAAUACCGCGUGAGGGAGGAAGGCUCUUGGGUCGUAAACCUCUUUUCUCAGGGAAGAACACAAUGACGGUAUCUGAGGAAUAAGCAUCGGCUAACUCCGUGCCAGCAGCCGCGGUAAUACGGAGGAUGCAAGCGUUAUCCGGAAUGAUUGGGCGUAAAGCGUCCGCAGGUGGCUGUGUAAGUCUGCUGUUAAAGAGUCUAGCUCAACUAGAUAAGAGCAGUGGAAACUACACGGCUAGAGUACGUUCGGGGCAGAGGGAAUUCCUGGUGUAGCGGUGAAAUGCGUAGAGAUCAGGAAGAACACCGGUGGCGAAGGCGCUCUGCUAGGCCGUGACUGACACUGAGGGACGAAAGCUAGGGGAGCG
RNAcentral lists this ribosomal RNA (380 nucleotides) under Nostoc sp. AECC1006. RNAcentral describes it as "bacterial SSU rRNA". It matches the Rfam family "Bacterial small subunit ribosomal RNA", at positions 376 to 770 of the family's 1533-position model. Lineage: Bacteria; Bacillati; Cyanobacteriota; Cyanophyceae; Nostocales; Nostocaceae. The record is from RNAcentral.